Molecule: ribosomal RNA, 415 nt
Filed under: uncultured prokaryote
Description: bacterial SSU rRNA
Rfam family: Bacterial small subunit ribosomal RNA
Source: RNAcentral
GUGUCAGCAGCCGCGGUAAUACAUAGGGUGCAAGCGUUGUCCGGAAUUAUUGGGCGUAAAGAGCUCGUAGGUCGUUUGUUACGUCGGAUGUGAAAACCUGAGGCUCAACCUCAGGCCUGCAUUCGAUACGGGCAAACUAGAGUUUGGUAGGGGAGACUGGAAUUCCUGGUGUAGCGGUGGAAUGCGCAGAUAUCAGGAGGAACACCAAUGGCGAAGGCAGGUCUCUGGGCCAAUACUGACACUGAGGAGCGAAAGUCUGGGGAGCAAACAGGAUUAGAUACCCUGGUAGUCCAGACCGUAAACGGUGGGCACUAGUUGUGGGAACCUUCCACGGUUUCUGCGACGCAGCUAACGCAUUAAGUGCCCCGCCUGGGGAGUACGAUCGCAAGAUUAAAACUUAAAUGAAUUGACGGGG